This 254-nucleotide ribosomal RNA is filed under the name uncultured bacterium. RNAcentral describes it as "partial 16S ribosomal RNA". It matches the Rfam family "Bacterial small subunit ribosomal RNA", at positions 524 to 776 of the family's 1533-position model. The record is from RNAcentral.
UACGGGGGGAGCAAGCGUUGUUCGGAUUUACUGGGCGUAAAGGGCGCGUAGGCGGUCGUGACAAGUCACUUGUGAAAUCUCCGGGCUUAACUCGGAACUGGCAAGUGAUACUGUCGGACUAGAGUACAGAAGGGGCAACUGGAAUUCUCGGUGUAGCGGUGAAAUGCGUAGAUAUCCGGAGGAACACCGAUGGCGGAGGCAGGUCUCUGGGCCACUACUGACGCUGAGAAGCGAAAGCAUGGGGAGCGAACAGG